Molecule: transfer RNA, 58 nt
Filed under: Dipodomys ordii (Ord's kangaroo rat)
Lineage: Eukaryota; Metazoa; Chordata; Mammalia; Rodentia; Heteromyidae
Rfam family: tRNA
About the family: Transfer RNA (tRNA) molecules are approximately 80 nucleotides in length. Their secondary structure includes four short double-helical elements and three loops (D, anti-codon, and T loops).
Source: Rfam by way of RNAcentral
UGGCUCAGUGGUAGAGCGCUUGCCUUGCAAGCAUGAGACCCUGGGUUCAAUUCCUCAG